AUGUUGUUGAUGUUGCUGAUGUAGUGGUAGUAACUUCCCGUAGCCUCGCCUGUCGGGUAUCGCGCCAGGCAGACCCACGCCCACAGCAAGCCUUCGAUCCUCGCUGUCCACCUCAUUGUGAAGCUCCACAGGGGAGUAUCGUCACCUGAGAGGUUGAAAAUCUUCGAGUCGGCCCCUUCAGUGCCGUGUUUGCUGCCAUUGAGGAAGGAUCGGUGUCGGUGUGCCCUGUCCUUAACAAGAGUAUUCCACCCUCAAACUUGCGGGUCUUCAUAAUACGGGUAAUGAAUCAUCCCCAACAAGAUCUAUGCUACAUUAUUCUUGAUCAAAACAUCUGUACCCAAAUUUAGAAGAUGGAAGACAACUAAGUACGGAAACAAACGUAGAAGAGUUUGUACAGAGAGGAAUAUGCAGUGCAAUAGAACUGGAGGAAUAGAGAAGAGAAGAGAAGAGAAGAGAAGAGAAGAGAGAGAGGAGAGAAGACCUUAAUCACCACUUGGUGACAAGGGCCUUCAUGGAGCUCACAGCAGUGCAGGGACUCAACAAUCAUGUGGACUUUCCUUCACACCAGUGUGGAGGCUCUCCCUGGAUCCAGUGCUGAUGGACCUGCCUCAAAAACGUGUUCAGUGCUGCCCUCUUGACUGUGUGGGCAGCUCUGACCAUCAUGCUGUGCUUGCAACUGUCAGUGUUGCCCUGGUGUGUGACGAGGAUCAUCAGUGAGUCACCUGGCUGUGGGACCGCACCAACUGGAUGGCUAUGUGGCAGGCCCCCUGACCUUGACAGACUGGGAAGCAAUAUUCACCGGGGACCUGCACCAUGACACCACUGUCCUCUGCACACUGCAGCAGCAACGCAUGCCACCAACCAAAAGCAUCAUCCCUGGUUCGGGUACAGGUGCAA
Scylla paramamosain (green mud crab) is the source of this 897-nucleotide long non-coding RNA. RefSeq lists it as uncharacterized. The transcript has 4 exons. The record is from RefSeq and is a predicted model, not a curated record. NCBI's taxonomy places the organism in Eukaryota, Metazoa, Arthropoda, Malacostraca, Decapoda, Portunidae.